GAUCCUGGCUCAGGAUGAACGCUAGCGACAGGCCUAACACAUGCAAGUCGAGGGGCAGCGCGGGUAGCAAUACUCUGGCGGCGACCGGCGCACGGGUGCGUAACAGGUGUGCAAUCUGUCCAUAGUCGGGGGAUAGCCCAGCGAAAGCUGAAUUAACACUCCAUGUGAAUCGAAGCCGCAUGACUUUGAUUUGAAACGUAAGGACUAUGGGUGAGCACGCUUCUGAUUAGAUAGUUGGUGAGGUAACGGCUCACCAAGUCGACGAUCAGUAGGGGUUCUGAGAGGAAGGUCCCCCACAUUGGAACUGAGACACGGUCCAAACUCCUACGGGAGGCAGCAGUGAGGAAUAUUGGUCAAUGGGCGAGAGCCUGAACCAGCCAAGUCGCGUGAAGGAUGAAGGUUCUAUGGAUUGUAAACUUCUUUUGUCCGAGGGUAAAAAGGCUACGUGUAGCUUCUUGCAAGUAUCGGACGAAUAAGCAUCGGCUAACUCCGUGCCAGCCGCCGC
RNAcentral lists this ribosomal RNA (505 nucleotides) under uncultured bacterium. RNAcentral's name for it is "bacterial SSU rRNA". It matches the Rfam family "Bacterial small subunit ribosomal RNA", at positions 15 to 518 of the family's 1533-position model. The record is from RNAcentral.